This 731-nucleotide ribosomal RNA is filed under the name Brevundimonas sp. CB 286492. Its description in RNAcentral is "bacterial SSU rRNA". It matches the Rfam family "Bacterial small subunit ribosomal RNA", at positions 100 to 867 of the family's 1533-position model. The record is from RNAcentral. Lineage: Bacteria; Pseudomonadati; Pseudomonadota; Alphaproteobacteria; Caulobacterales; Caulobacteraceae.
GGACGGGUGAGUAACACGUGGGAACGUGCCUUUAGGUUCGGAAUAACUCAGGGAAACUUGUGCUAAUACCGAAUGUGCCCUUCGGGGGAAAGAUUUAUCGCCUUUAGAGCGGCCCGCGUCUGAUUAGCUUGUUGGUGGGGUAAUGGCCCACCAAGGCGACGAUCAGUAGCUGGUCUGAGAGGAUGACCAGCCACAUUGGGACUGAGACACGGCCCAAACUCCUACGGGAGGCAGCAGUGGGGAAUCUUGCGCAAUGGGCGAAAGCCUGACGCAGCCAUGCCGCGUGUAUGAUGAAGGUCUUAGGAUUGUAAAAUACUUUCACCGGUGAAGAUAAUGACUGUAGCCGGAGAAGAAGCCCCGGCUAACUUCGUGCCAGCAGCCGCGGUAAUACGAAGGGGGCUAGCGUUGCUCGGAAUUACUGGGCGUAAAGGGAGCGUAGGCGGACAUUUAAGUCAGAGGUGAAAUCCCGGAGCUUAACUUCGGAACUGCCUUUGAUACUGGGUGUCUUGAGUGUGAGAGAGGUAUGUGGAACUCCGAGUGUAGAGGUGAAAUUCGUAGAUAUUCGGAAGAACACCAGUGGCGAAGGCGACAUACUGGCUCAUUACUGACGCUGAGGCUCGAAAGCGUGGGGAGCAAACAGGAUUAGAUACCCUGGUAGUCCACGCCGUAAACGAUGAUUGCUAGUUGUCGGGAAGCUUGCUUCUCGGUGACGCAGCUAACGCAUUAAGCAA